RNAcentral lists this unclassified non-coding RNA (133 nucleotides) under uncultured Ascomycota. RNAcentral's name for it is "sequence contains ITS1". The record is from RNAcentral. Lineage: Eukaryota; Fungi; Ascomycota.
AUGAGUUUUUACAACUCCCAACCCUAUGUGAACUUACCUUUGUUGCCUCGGCGGCGCCUAUCCAGGUACCGCCGAUGGAUCUCCAAACUCUUGUUAUUUUUAUGUUAUCUGAGCGUCUUAUUUUAAUAAGUCA